CCUACGGGAGGCAGCAGUGAGGAAUAUUGGGCAAUGGACGAGAGUCUGAACCAGCCAAGUAGCGUGAAGGAUGACUGCCCUCUGGGUUGUAAACUUCUUUUAUAAAGGAAUAAAACGAGGCACGUGUGCCUUUUUGCAUUUACUUUAUGAAUAAGGAUCGGCUAACUACGUUCCAGCAGCCGCGGUAAUACGGAGGAUCCGAGCGUUAUCCGGAUUUAUUGGGUUUAAAGGAAGCGUAGAUGGGUUGUUAAGUCAGAUGUGAAAGUUUGCGGCUCAACCGUAAAAUGGCAAUUGAUACUGGCAGUCUUGAGUACAGAUGAGGUAGGCGGAAUUCGUGGUGUAGCGGUGAAAUGCGGAGAUAUAACGAAGAACCCCGAUUGCGAAGGCAGCUUACUAAACUGUGACUGACAUUGAUGCUCGAAAGUGUGGGUAUCAAACAGGAUUAGAUACCCUUGUAGUC
RNAcentral lists this ribosomal RNA (460 nucleotides) under uncultured bacterium. Its description in RNAcentral is "partial 16S ribosomal RNA". It matches the Rfam family "Bacterial small subunit ribosomal RNA", at positions 338 to 795 of the family's 1533-position model. The record is from RNAcentral.